CUACGGGGGGCUGCAGUGGGGAAUAUUGCACAAUGGAGGAAACUCUGAUGCAGCGACGCCGCGUGGAGGAUGACACAUUUCGGUGCGUAAACUCCUUUUAUAUGAGAAGAUAAUGACGGUAUCAUAUGAAUAAGCACCGGCUAACUCCGUGCCAGCAGCCGCGGUAAUACGGGGGGUGCAAGCGUUACUCGGAAUCACUGGGCGUAAAGAGCAUGUAGGCGGAUAGAAAAGUUGGAAGUGAAAUCCUGUGGCUUAACCAUAGAACUGCUUCCAAAACUCUCUAUCUAGAAUAUGGGAGAGGUAGAUGGAAUUUCUGGUGUAGGGGUAAAAUCCGUAGAGAUCAGAAGGAAUACCGAUUGCGAAGGCGAUCUACUGGAACAUUAUUGACGCUGAGAUGCGAAAGCGUGGGGAGCAAACAGGAUUAGAUACCCGUGUAGUC
RNAcentral lists this ribosomal RNA (439 nucleotides) under uncultured bacterium. RNAcentral's name for it is "partial 16S ribosomal RNA". It matches the Rfam family "Bacterial small subunit ribosomal RNA", at positions 339 to 795 of the family's 1533-position model. The record is from RNAcentral.